GGCAAAGUUAAUAAGGGCGCACGGUGGAUGCCUUGGCACUAAGAGCCGAUGAAGGACGUGACUAACGACGAUAUUCUAGGGGGAGCAGUAAGUACGCAUUGAUCCCUAGGUCUCCGAAUGGGGAAACCCAGCUGCUACUAGCAGUUAUUCAUGAGUGAAUACAUAGCUCAUGUAAAGGUAACGCAGAGAACUGAAACAUCUAAGUA
Molecule: ribosomal RNA, 206 nt
Filed under: Lactococcus lactis subsp. lactis
Lineage: Bacteria; Bacillati; Bacillota; Bacilli; Lactobacillales; Streptococcaceae
Description: partial 23S ribosomal RNA
Rfam family: Bacterial large subunit ribosomal RNA
Source: RNAcentral